AGUCGGGCGGUAGAGAGGUGCUUGCACCUCUUGAGAGCGGCGGACGGGUGAGUAAUACCUAGGAAUCUGCCUGGUAGUGGGGGAUAACGUUCGGAAACGGACGCUAAUACCGCAUACGUCCUACGGGAGAAAGCAGGGGACCUUCGGGCCUUGCGCUAUCAGAUGAGCCUAGGUCGGAUUAGCUAGUUGGUGAGGUAAUGGCUCACCAAGGCUACGAUCCGUAACUGGUCUGAGAGGAUGAUCAGUCACACUGGAACUGAGACACGGUCCAGACUCCUACGGGAGGCAGCAGUGGGGAAUAUUGGACAAUGGGCGAAAGCCUGAUCCAGCCAUGCCGCGUGUGUGAAGAAGGUCUUCGGAUUGUAAAGCACUUUAAGUUGGGAGGAAGGGCAUUAACCUAAUACGUUAGUGCUUUGACGUUACCGACAGAAUAAGCACCGGCUAACUCUGUGCCAGCAGCCGCGGUAAGACAGAGGGGGCAAGCGUUGUCCGGAUUUACUGGGCGUAAAGGGCGUGUAGGCGGUUUGGGGCGUCCCAUGUGAAAGGCCACGGCUCAACCGUGGAGGAGCGUGGGAUACGCUCAGGCUAGAGGGUGGGAGGGGGUGGUGGAAUUCCCGGAGUAGCGGUGAAAUGCGCAGAUACCGGGAGGAACGCCGAUGG
Molecule: ribosomal RNA, 660 nt
Filed under: uncultured bacterium
Lineage: Bacteria
Description: bacterial SSU rRNA
Rfam family: Bacterial small subunit ribosomal RNA
Source: RNAcentral